Molecule: ribosomal RNA, 514 nt
Filed under: uncultured bacterium
Lineage: Bacteria
Description: bacterial SSU rRNA
Rfam family: Bacterial small subunit ribosomal RNA
Source: RNAcentral
GAUCCUGGCUCAGGAUGAACGCUAGCGACAGGCUUAACACAUGCAAGUCGAGGGGCAGCAUAAAAGUAGCAAUACGUUUGGUGGCGACCGGCGCACGGGUGAGUAACGCGUAUGCAACCUACCUAUCAGGAGGGGAAUAACCCGGCGAAAGUCGGACUAAUACCGCAUAAAACAGGGACACCGCAUGGUGAUAUUUGUUAAAGAAAUUCGCUGAUAGAUGGGCAUGCGUUCCAUUAGGUAGUUGGUGAGGUAACGGCUCACCAAGCCGACGAUGGAUAGGGGAACUGAGAGGUUGGUCCCCCACACUGGUACUGAGACACGGACCAGACUCCUACGGGAGGCAGCAGUGAGGAAUAUUGGUCAAUGGGCGAGAGCCUGAACCAGCCAAGUCGCCGUGAAGGAAGAAGGAUCUAUGGUUCGUAAACUUCUUUUGCAGGGGAAUAAAGUGCAGGACGUGUCCUGUUUUGUAUGUACCCUGAGAAUAAGGAUCGGCUAACUCCGUGCCAGCCGCAGC